GCGGGUAUAGUUCAAUGGUAGAACAUCAGCUUCCCAAGCUGAGAGUGGGGGUUCGAUUCCCCUUACCCGCUCCA
This 74-nucleotide transfer RNA is filed under the name Mageeibacillus indolicus UPII9-5. RNAcentral describes it as "tRNA-Gly (CCC) (tRNA-Gly-CCC-1-1)". It matches the Rfam family "tRNA". From Rfam's summary of the family: Transfer RNA (tRNA) molecules are approximately 80 nucleotides in length. Their secondary structure includes four short double-helical elements and three loops (D, anti-codon, and T loops). The record is from RNAcentral. Lineage: Bacteria; Bacillati; Bacillota; Clostridia; Eubacteriales; Oscillospiraceae. RNAcentral also lists the same sequence under 2 other names.